GAUGAACGCUAGCGGCAGGCCUAACACAUGCAAGUCGAGGGGCAGCACGUCUUCGGAUGGUGGCGACCGGCGCACGGGUGCGUAACGCGUAUGCAACCUACCUUACACUGGGGUAUAGCCCGGAGAAAUUCGGAUUAAUCCCCCAUGGUACUUUUGAAUGGCAUCAUUUGGAAGUUAAAGUAUUACGGUGUAAGAUGGGCAUGCGUCCUAUUAGCUAGAUGGUAAGGUAACGGCUUACCAUGGCAACGAUAGGUAGGGGUCCUGAGAGGGAGAUCCCCCANACUGGUACUGAGACACGGACCAGACUCCUACGGGAGCAGCAGUGAGGAAUAUUGGACAAUGGGCGCAAGCCUGAUCCAGCCAUGCCGCGUGCAGGAAGAAGCAUCUAUGGUGUGUAAACUGCUUUUGACGGGAAGAAACACUCCUUACGUGAAAGGGAG
This 440-nucleotide ribosomal RNA is filed under the name uncultured bacterium. Its description in RNAcentral is "bacterial SSU rRNA". It matches the Rfam family "Bacterial small subunit ribosomal RNA", at positions 28 to 468 of the family's 1533-position model. The record is from RNAcentral.